This 466-nucleotide ribosomal RNA is filed under the name uncultured Enterobacteriaceae bacterium. Its description in RNAcentral is "bacterial SSU rRNA". It matches the Rfam family "Bacterial small subunit ribosomal RNA", at positions 916 to 1382 of the family's 1533-position model. Lineage: Bacteria; Pseudomonadati; Pseudomonadota; Gammaproteobacteria; Enterobacterales; Enterobacteriaceae. The record is from RNAcentral.
GGGGCCCGCACAAGCGGUGGAGCAUGUGGUUUAAUUCGACGCAACGCGAAGAACCUUACCAGGGCUUGACAUCCCCUGACCGCGUAUGAAAGUACGUUUUCACCUCGGGUGACAGGGAGACAGGUGGUGCAUGGUUGUCGUCAGCUCGUGUCGUGAGAUGUUGGGUUAAGUCCCGCAACGAGCGCAACCCUUAUCCUUUGUUGCCAGCGGUCCGGCCGGGAACUCAAAGGAGACUGCCAGUGAUAAACUGGAGGAAGGUGGGAUGACGUCAAGUCAUCAUGGCCCUUACGACCAGGGCUACACACGUGCUACAAUGGCGCAUACAAAGAGAAGCGACCUCGCGAGAGCAAGCGGACCUCAUAAAGUGCGUCGUAGUCCGGAUUGGAGUCUGAAACCCGACUCCAUGAAGGUGGAAUCGCUAGUAAUCGCGCAUCAGCAUGGCGCGGUGAAUACGUUCCCGGGCCUU